Long non-coding RNA from Alligator mississippiensis (American alligator), 928 nucleotides. RefSeq lists it as uncharacterized. Lineage: Eukaryota; Metazoa; Chordata; Crocodylia; Alligatoridae. The record is from RefSeq and is a predicted model, not a curated record. The transcript is spliced from 3 exons.
AGAUGAGGAAGGGAAAAAUAAGAGAGCGAAAGCACCAGGACUGAAAGUUGCCAGGGUCGGGAUUAGAACCAGCAGACUGGAGGGGAGCUGGGUUUACUUGAGGUUAAUUGAUGUUAAUUGAUUAAAGGACAACACCCAAUGUCAGCAGAAGCUGGCACAGAAGCUGGGGCCAGAGUCAGAGCUGCAGGGGAGCCAAAAGAGAUGAGUCAGUACUCUUCCUGAAUGAGAUAAGUUGGCUUCAUGGAUCAGGAACAAUCAGAUUUUUGCUUAAAGGAAGAAAAUAAGCAUCUAGAUUCUGCUCCAAACUGUGCCUGGUACAAAUCAGACUGAAGAACAAAUCUGCUAAGGGAAUGACACAUUCUGAUCUACAAUGUGCAAGCCUAGAGGGGUUUGUUCGCACAAGCUCACAAGUGACUCAACCAGCAUGAAAGGCACAAACAUCUUUUCUGAUUUUAAAAAGCUUCCAUCCACCCUACUCUCAGCUGACUUGCAACAUCAAGCACAAGAGUGGAUCAUUUCAUCCUUAUUUUAUCACAUUUCAAGUGGGGGGGAAAAAAACAUUUCACCUGAACCCAUUUUGCACAUUGUGUCCACAAUAUAUUCUACAACCAUUUCUGUCGUGAUGUUAAUAAUUUUGUUUUGUAUGUAUGGACUUGGGCAAAUUGUAUAAACAAUUUUUCCUUGCCUUGGAUCUUUCUGCAAGGCAAAUUUAAAUAAUUUCAAGCACAGCUCACCAGAUGAAUGGUUGGGUCUGGUUUCUCAAAACCUCCCUGAAAACUAAGCUCAUUAACUGUAAGAAACUGAAUCAGCUCUGCUACACAUUUGAUGUAGCACCUGUUCUUUUUUUAAUUGAAUUUAAUUUAAUAGAAAUGAUCCAAUCAUUUUUCCACCUCCUGUUCACCCUUUUGCUUCUUCCUAUAAAGCUACA